RNAcentral lists this ribosomal RNA (780 nucleotides) under Triticum aestivum (bread wheat). RNAcentral describes it as "partial small subunit ribosomal RNA". Lineage: Eukaryota; Viridiplantae; Streptophyta; Magnoliopsida; Poales; Poaceae. The record is from RNAcentral.
AUGCUUAUUGAUAUUGCUAUUGAGUCUGUAAAGGGCUUGAUUUCUUUCUUCACUAAGUAUAGAGAAUCUGGCUUUCCAAAAGCAUUGGAAGCUGCAAAAGAAAUUGCAAAGGAGAUGGAUAUUAAUCCAGAGUUCCGCACCAAGCGUAAAAUCAAGAGAAAAAGGCAAAUUGGUGAGGGUGCAGAUGAUUCAUCUAUUGUUUCACAAUCAGCAGAGGAGUCAUUUAGGGUCAAUUAUUUUCUGCAUAUUGUUGAUCAAGCUAUAGUUUCACUUAACACGAGAUUUGAACAGUACGAGGGGUAUGAAAAAAUAUUUGGUUUCUUGUUUACUUCAGAUAGACUGCGAUCCUUGGAUGGCAAGAGUUUAUUGGCUGCGUGUGUUAAUCUUGAAGAUGCACUUAAGAGUGGAGAACAUAAAGAUAUUGACGGACUUGAAUUGUGUUCCGAGCUACUUUUUCUGCAGGGCUCACUUCAGAAAUCUAUGGGCCCACUUGAUAUUUUGAACUUUUUGAAGAAGCGUUCCUUAAUCUAUCCUAAUGCUGUUAUCGCAUACAGAAUUUUGUUAACCAUUCCUGUGACAGUUGCAUCUGCGGAAAGGAGCUUUUCUAAACUCAAGUUGUUGAAAUCCUACUUGCGUUCUACAAUGACACAAGAAAGACUGAAUGGAUUGGCAACAAUAGCACUUGAAAAUGAUGUCUUGGAGAAGAUUAAUUAUGAAGAUUUGAUCGAAGAUUUCAUAUCAAGAAAUACUAGAAGAAUGCUGCUUUUUGGUAGAAAAUGA